CCUACGGGUGGCAGCAGUGAGGAAUAUUGGUCAAUGGGCGAGAGCCUGAACCAGCCAAGUCGCGUGAGGGAGUACUGCCCUAUGGGUUGUAAACCUCUUUUGUCGGGGAGCAAAAGCCGGACGUGUCCGGCUGUGAGAGUACCCGAAGAAAAAGCAUCGGCUAAAUCCGUGCCAGCAGCCGCGGUAAUACGGAGGAUGCGAGCGUUAUCCGGAUUUAUUGGGUUUAAAGGGUGCGCAGGCGGAUUUUUACGUCAGCGGUAAAAUCGUGGGGCUCAACCCCAUCCAGCCGUUGAAACUGGGGAUCUAGAGUGUGCGAGAGGUAUGCGGAAUGCGUGGUGUAGCGGUGAAAUGCAUAGAUAUCACGCAGAACCCCGAUUGCGAAGGCAGCAUACCGGUGCACAACUGACGCUCAGGCACGAAAGCGUGGGUAUCGAACAGGAUUAGAUACCCGUGUAGUC
RNAcentral lists this ribosomal RNA (458 nucleotides) under uncultured bacterium. RNAcentral's name for it is "partial 16S ribosomal RNA". It matches the Rfam family "Bacterial small subunit ribosomal RNA", at positions 338 to 795 of the family's 1533-position model. The record is from RNAcentral.